Molecule: ribosomal RNA, 253 nt
Filed under: uncultured bacterium
Lineage: Bacteria
Description: partial 16S ribosomal RNA
Rfam family: Archaeal small subunit ribosomal RNA
Source: RNAcentral
UACCAGCACCCCGAGUGGUCGGGACGUUUAUUGGGCCUAAAGCAUCCGUAGCCGGUUCUACCAGUCUUCCGUUAAAUCCACCUGCUUAACAGAUGGGCUGCGGAAGAUACUAUAGAGCUAGGAGGCGGGAGAGGCAAGCGGUACUCGAUGGGUAGGGGUAAAAUCCGUUGAUCCAUUGAAGACCACCAGUGGCGAAGGCGGCUUGCCAGAACGCGCUCGACGGUGAGGGAUGAAAGCUGGGGGAGCAAACCGG